Long non-coding RNA from Oreochromis aureus, 6891 nucleotides. The record is from Ensembl. Lineage: Eukaryota; Metazoa; Chordata; Actinopteri; Cichliformes; Cichlidae.
CUGCGGUAAGAUGCGGCGGCGCACGAUGCCGAGCCGCGGCGGAUGAGAUGAUGCGCAAUGGCUGAACGAGUCGGGAGGAGAGAGAGAAAAAAAAGAGGCUGUGGUCUGAUUUAAACGAUGGGACAGGACUGAAUGGAUGUUCGAGCGAUUUGUAACGUUUGUGGUGCAGGCCGAGUAGAAAGAUGAGGCGGCGCUGAUUCCACUUUAGGAUGCUCCAGAGCCCGAGAGGAGGGAGAAUAGGCUUCGUCUGUAAACAAUAAGGAAGCAGAGGGGCAUUAAGUAAAGGACACUUAAUCCAGAGCCUGGACCUGAGACCCCGGGGCUUCGAAAAAGGUUGCUCUGUGACAGCUGAGUCAGUCCUCUGUGAGGAGAGGCCAGUGAACGGGGAGGGCGGCGAAGCUCUGGAGACAGCGUCACUGAGCGUCAGCCUGGAAGAAAACAAACUUCUCAUUUCCCUUGCUCUCAUCAGCACUGACAGCUGGACAUCACACCUGCAUGUUUCUCUUCUUCGUCAGGAGACUGUCUAAGUUGAGGAGUGAUAGGUGCAAACAAUCGCAGGUCGCCCGUCAGAAAAACAGCUGAUUCUGUCUUCAGAUGCAGUCAGAAUGAUUUGCUAAGAUAUGAGAUUACAAGGAGAUUCAUCUCCCUCCGGCCAUGUUAGGAAAACAUCGUCUUCGGUACCACUGUCAGAAUUAAUCAGUAAGAAAUUUGUUUCAGCUGUUUCAUAGUGCCCAGUGAUUUUUUUUUAGUUUUUUUUUCUAAAUGAUGAUCUUUUUACCUUUGAGCUGUCAGGCUGUGAAUCAAGAAUAGAUUCUUGAUUGUGGCAGUGCUCCCUCUCACAAAUGAGAAUUCAACUUGAGCUGACAGGCUGCAUUUUAAUAAAGGAUAAGUAAAAACCAACCAAUAAAACAUAGAUGAGGCCCACAACAAGCACUAUGCUCCAGCAGAAUAACAACAACAACUACCCGUGCCUGAGCAUGUCAGGCUCUAGCCGGGAGAUGCUCCAGAAAUGCUCCAGAGCCUCUCUGCCCUUCCCCAGCCGACUGGAGCUGGGACUGGCAGAUCUGCCGCUCAUUCGGGGUCUCCGAGCCUGGGCCCUGUGUUCCAGGAAUCGCCACAAGACUGCUAAUCUGCUGGGAGGAGGACAAGCACCCACAGCUCCUCCUGCAGGUCGAGGAGGUUCAGCAUCAUGCCCCAGGCCUGCAGAUGUUUGCCUGAGUGGCGAGUGGGGUCGCAUGGGAUAUGGGCUUCCGCUGGGGGUGGACAGUAGGCAGGCUGGAAUCGGAGCUUUGGUAACAGUUGCCACUCUGAAGACCUCAGAGGGCAGCGGGAAGACUCAGACUCAGUGUCUGUUCCUCCGGACUGAGAAAGGAAGCUGUUUGUAUUCAGCAGCUAAGCCCAACUCUGGAGUGACAACCAGUGCAGCCUCCAGUGUGGUUGGAGGAUGGCUGCGAGGAAAGACUGGAGUAGGAGGAGGACGCAGAGACACUCCAGCUGGGCCAACUCCACCGGCACAGACUGGAGCAAACCGGGUUAGGGUGCGAUCAGGGAGGAGAUGGAGGAAGUCUGGCAAUGCAGCGGGCCGGGAGAAAACAGGCGUGAGCAGAGAGAGGCAGCAGAGGAGCAGGGAAGUUCCUGCUGGUGAAAUCGCUGUGGAAGAAAGGCAGGAAGAGCAAGACAAAGGAGGCCUGGACUGUAAACAGUUUCCCACCCCACAGCAGGACAGCCGGCGAGCCAGAUGCAGCCACAGCGUUUCUCCUAAAUCCUGCGUCCAAUGUGGAAGGAGAGCACAGAGGAGGAAAAGCCAGGAUGGACACGAGGGAGGCAUCCCGAACAGGCUGAACAGUGAGGUGACGGGAAUGAGGAAGGAAAGGCAAAAGAAUGAAGAGGAGGAUAAGGGAGGCCUCGGCAAGUUAGAGUCUUCCAGCUCUGUUUUGACUGAACUAAACCCUGACCUAGAAUCUACCCGUUCUUACAGCGACUCCCACGACAGCUGCGAUGUGGGAGAAACAAGAGAAACUGAGAGCAGCGAGGGGCAGAAGACACAAGCUUCUCAGAGCAAGGACGGCUAUUCAGAGGAACAAGAAGACAGAUACACUGAAGGAAACAACGUCACCCAUGGACAUUCUGGGUUGAUUGAUAAUUCAAGACAUAAGAACAGCAUUACUGAGAGAAAACCAAGUAAAUGCCCCUGUGAAGAAGAAGGGGCUAAUGUAAACGGAUUUUCUGAUCUCGAUGAAGCAGGUGAAGAAUCAGAGAAAAGGGCUGAGUGUGCAGAUGUUAAAGAUGAAAAGGAGAACAUCAGCGAGGCUCUUGAUGAAUUUUCCAGCUGGUGUGCAGUCUUUACGCCUGCCUCCAGCAGCACUGGAGUCUCCCUCAGUUUUAACAAGUCAGCCGCACCCAUAGAGGGCAGCGUCUGCAGUGCUGACCAUGAAACUUGUUGGGUUCAGGCUGAGCAGGAGCAGGAGAAUCACGUUGAGGGGUAUCAGCAAGAGGAAAAAGACUCUGGGGUCACGGGUGAAGAAGAACAGGCCAAUGAAAAAACCACUGUGAAUGAGAUAUUAAAUAAUAAACCUCAAUCUGUGUUUAAAAAUGAGGAGGAAGUGUUACCUUCAUCCCUCACAGAUGGAGAUCAUUCCAUCUCUGAGUCAGGCGAGAGGAUUGUGGCAGACAGCAGCAGCAAAUGUGGGACGAAAGAUGAGCUGGAGUCGGAAGAAGGAAAUUUAGAAGAGAGCCUCAAUCCUGAACAUGGAGACGAAGCUGGGGAUAUUUGGAAGUCGGAUGAAUGUAAAGAACUCACACUCAAAGAUAAUUAUGAAGGGACAGCGAUAAACUGUGCUUCAGAGGAAGACUGGCGGUUACAGGAGGUCGAAGAUGAACGCAGGAAGUGGGAGAAAGAGGAUGGAUACACCUGUGCACAAACAAGCAUCGCCCCUGUUGAACCAAGUGGAGAGUGGCUCCACCGUGGCCACUGACGAAGGGAGGAAGGAGGAGGAGGAAGAUGAGUUUGGAGUGUUCAUGCAGGCGGAGGGAGAGCCAGCCUGGAGCGAGGAGUUCACCAUGUCUGCCUCAGUGCCUUGUGGGAGCAGAGAGAGUGUUGCACUUGGAAAGCAUGCUAUCACCAGUGAGUCGACCCUCUGGACGCCAGGCAAGACGGACAGCUCGUUCCACCAGUCAGACGACACCUGGACAGCCUUCCCUCAGGAUUCAUCAGAUGAAGGUGGAGACGUUGUGGAGCAGUGGUGGCCAGCCAGUGCUGUGGAGGAGAGGAGAGACAGACUCUCAGCCAAUCAGAACCUGGCGGCUGUCUUUGCUGAAGUCUUCCCCUCAUUUACUGGUUCAUCCUCAAGUGACUCCUGUGACCUCAGUACUGUUCCCACACUGAGCCAGCUCCUCAGAGGCGGAGCAAGCCAAGACCAGGGGCUGUUGGACAGUUUCCACGACUUAAACAAAAUGAUCGGCCAGAGAUACAAGAGAGCCAACGGCGUGUCUCGUAACCUGCUGCUGAAGACUUUACACCUGGAGCAGCCGCACACUGAAAGCAGACCUGCUUCCUGGACAGCAAACUGCCGCCUCUCCCCUGGCCUCCCCUCAGCCAAUCAGCAUGCUCAAAAUGCCGCUGCCAAGCGACGGCUGUCCUAUGACUACAACAGGAACAUCAUGGAGUAACUCUGUGGACCUCAGCUCUGGUUUGGCUGUCAGCAUUCACAAUGAAGGACUGCAGGUUUUAACAGGUUUCUCGAGGAUCCGGAUUCACAGCAUAUUAAACUAAGCACUCAUCGACCUGCUGACUCUUUGCACACUUCCUGGUUAUUUAAGCCUGAGACAGUGAGGAGAGCCGGUGUCUCCUCCAGCACCUGCUGAUGUAUACUGGGGGAGUGGUUUUUUUUAUAUCACGUGUUCAUCACCUUGUUCACUAUCACCACUACCACCCAUUAAGUAUCAACCUUACCUACUGAGAUUCUUUGGAGCAUUGUGACCUGUUACAAGGUACACGCCACCACCUUAAAGGCACUCUAAUUUUUUCCUCCUCUAACAGAAAUAGAUCUGAAGCACCACUGCUUUUUGUCUCAAGGGUAGAAUAAAUAUAAAGCAUAUAAUACUCACAUGGGGUGAACUUAAAUAAUAAAAAUAAACGUUUCUCCCACUGAAAUCACUACGUCCAGAUGAACAGAAUCAACCUUUUGUGGUAUAUAAGACAUCAUUUUACAUACAUUGGCGGCCCUGUCAGUCAUGAUUUUUGACAUGCCGGUUGUUUAGCGUACGUCUGCUGUCUCUUUAAAAGUUUGUGGUUUGUUUUUGUCGUGCAGAAAUGGAAGAGUGUAACUGGGGCAAAAAGUUUCUACCUCCAGUGUUGCUGAUCUAACAGACAAAUAAAAUUAUGUUGCACUACACUACAGUUUAAAUUUGAAAUAGAUUUUUUUAUUAAGUAGGAAAAUCCUAGUUCUGAAAAACUGGUAUUCUUCAUAUACUAUAUGCUGUGUACUGUAAGCAUAUUCAUACAAUAUGUCAGUUAGGCUGAAAGGGGAAGAACAUCUGGGGUUAUUGGUUAAGUUUCUAACCAUGAAGACACAGCUUUACUUCACACAGGGGGCCUUUAAGGCUUCUCCUUAUUUCCUGCCAUGUAUAUACUCUCACAGUGAUGGAUGCUCAUGUUGAACAUGGCCAAAGGUUCAAAUAUUGAGCCAUGUAUAUAUAAAAGUAAUUCCUGUGAGCUUAAUAUCCUGCAUAUCAUUUCAGUCACACAGGUGUGGCUGUGAGCACUAAAGCCCCACCUGCCUGUGUUCAAACCAAUCAGGUGAGGCUCUAAUACAGCUUCUUUCAGACGGAGUAUGAGCUGGGGGGCUGCAUCAAUGACCAGUGUGAAUUUUGAAUGAGCAGAACAGGUACAAGACAAACUGUGUCAACGUAGCAUUUUAAAUUACCCAAGCAUCUUUUUCCAAUCUGUGCUUUUCAGUUAUUUCAAAUUGGACUAACAAGCCAUUGUGAUGGAGGCAUACAUGUCUGUAUUAUUGAGUGCCAAGUCAGGUAAAUGGGAACUAUCAGAAAACUAGAUUUGUAGUUAUAUUUCCAGCCACGUUUUAUGAAAGUAGCAUAAAGUUCCAGUCUUCCUCCCGGAAAAGAUCUCUGGGUUUAAUUACAGAAGAAGACUCGAUGACAUGAUGCUUGUUUUUGUUCUGUAGCUCCAUUAAUGUGGUGGCUUGACCCUUUGUAACAGCUUCACUCCUCUUCAGUUUUCCUGUCUGUAGCAGAAACCUCUACAGAUGUCACCAUCGCCUGGAUUCAUGCACAUGUUCAGUAGAAGUAACAGAAAAACCUUUUGUCUAGUCGUGUCAUCACACAGAAGAUCAGAGUCAAGCGUUAUUUUUUUUCCAAAACGUAGAGCAGAUAUAAUAAUGAGUACUAAAGAAAGAUCAAGAUUGUUUUUGUUUUAAUUUUGUUUACAUUUGACAUUUUGAUGCAUGUGCUUUCAUUGUGUAUUUGCUACUGAAAAGCCAGUGACAGGAACAGGUCUCAACUUUGUUCUGGUUCCUCAGAGAAACAAGUUUGUCUUCCAGUUAGUGCCAACAGGAACACCAGAGAAAGUGCCAAUGUUUACGAGGUUACGGAAGUGAUUUCAGGAGGAAAUGUUUGUCUUGUUUCUCAAACACACUGAAGUGGACUCAAACAAAAGCAUGUGAUGUUCCACCUUUUUCUUUCUUUCUUUGUCUUUCUGUCUCGCUUCUUGUCUGCCGAAUGUCUCAGUACAUUCGUUUUAGUUCAGCGCUGUUCUGUAGUCGAGUCCACUUCAUGGGCAAAACUUGAAUUUAGCUGCCGGUCAAAAUGAUAUUUUAUGAGAAUAUUGUUCACAUUAUGUCGAUCAUGCACCGCGUUUCUAAUUUGUGGCACCUCAGAAAACUUUAAGUCGCUCUGUUGUGUAUUUCAAUUGUUAACUCUGUUAAUCUGUGAUGAAAUUCAGAAUCAGUCGUGUGUGUGUGUGUGUGUGUGUGUGUGUGUGUGUGUGUGUGUGUGUGUGCCAUUUAUACAACAUUCAAAUUCUUGAAAAAAUGGAUAUUUUCUGUUACAAUGAGGAGGAUCCAGCUGUCGCCUUGUUGACUGAUGUAAUAAAAUGAUACUGCGUGUUGGCUAAUGCUUCCUCCUGACAUGCAGAAUUAUGUGACCUGUUGAUUUCAUGAAGAGGGAACCACUGGCUGACUAGUAACUCAGAUAAAAUCAUCACAUGGUCUGCUCUUCUGGGCCAUGUUUGAACAUUUUGAAAUCCACUCACUCGUCCUUUGUAAAUAUUACGAAACGAACAAAUAUUUCCCAGACAGACCGAGAAGAAGUCAGACCUGACAUAAUUCAGCUGACGUUUCAUGGAGUCAAUGAGGGUUUUUCAUGAGCUUGUCAUGAAAAACAUUCAAACCCAUCCAUCUUUUUUCCUAACCGCUUAUCAGAUUGAAGGUUACCAGCUGUCAGUGGGUGAUGACCGAUCCUCAGUUUUCUGGAAUCAGACCAAACAAUUAAUGAACAUAAAUAUGUUUUAGGUUUACUCUUUGCCAAAAUUGCUGCACAUUAUUCUAAUUAAUAUAUUAACAUAUAUCUACUUUAUUGCUCUAUGGAUUAGCGUGGGGCUUUGUUCAUAAGUCCAUAACUUUGGUCCAUGUUUACUAUGCUUAUACAGGAAAUGUAUAGAUCCAGAAAAUGUGUCUCGUCUUUGUGAAAGCCAUUGAUAUAAUUUAUCAACACAACGAAACCUGAAGAUGAUUUGAUCCGAAUGUUUCUCGAGAAUAGAAACUGUUGUGCCCCUGACAAAUAGAAGCUGUAAACUAAACUGAAACAAGAAAGUUCACUCCCAAAAUAAUUUUUUUAACUGUGAAACCAAAAUAGAAACAAAUUUUUCUGCUUUGG